ACAGCAAGAUUAAGCAGCAGCAGGGCCCGGUGCUUUCCAGCAGCCAGAAGAAUGCUGUGAUCAAGAUGUUUCUCUCACAUCCGUGUGCUUAGCCGCCCUUGGAUGUUUGGCCCCCAGAGCACCUAAUCCUGUCUCUGGGCACGCGGCCAGGCCUCGCUGGGAGCCAGGCGGGGCCCACGGGGCAGUGACAGGCUGAAGACUCAACUAGAGUCAAGGACAGGGUCUCCAGCCAGGGUGGCUUGCCUAGCCACCGACGUCUCCCAGGCCCACGGUCACAGCAGACUCCUGGUGAAGACACUGAACCCCCCACCAGCCCCAUGUCCUCCCUGGGCAGGGCAGGAGGGGCUGCUGGAGAGGCCAGGGAGGAGGUGUGGGGCCUCGGUGGCAUUGGCAGGCCACCCCCACAGAGCGGCCCAAAGGUGGAAUUUGGCCUUGUUUAGGGAGUGUUGGCCCAGCUGGCUUACCAAAACAGGAAAGGCCUUUGGAUACAGAAACUGGGUGUUUUCCUGCUGGAUCUUCAUGGUCCUCCCGUCAUGGUUGCCGUAAGAAUAAGUGAGGUCCGGGGGGGUAAGGUCGGAGCCAGGACACCUGGACCCAGCCUGCUGGUUUGUCCUCUCCCUCCGUCUCUGAAGCCUCUUCACCGCUCCACUCCCAUCUGUGGAAAUCUUCCAUCCUCCUGAUUUUUUUUUUUUUGAGUCUGGGUUGCCGACAUCAAAACCCGUUAGGAGUUCAUCACGGCUUCCAGUUACCAUCAAAACCUCCAGUGAACUGUGAGAACGGUGUUGGUGCUGUGAUGGAGAAGUUAAUUGGGUUGAAUACACAGGCCAUGAUUUUAUCAUGCCGGGGACAUGGUCAAAAUAAGGCCAGGAAAAGGAAAUAUUUGACAACCAGCUCCUUGAAGAGCGGAACCGGCGCCGUCAGUGAUGGAGCAGCCGGCUGUGCUGUCAGCGGGGCCUGGCGGUGGAAGCGCCUCCAGUGUGCAUGAGCAUGUCUGAAGAUGGGGGGCUCAGGGGGGCACGUUUGCGUUUAGACCUGUCUGUGCGUUCUCCUGCGUGGCAGUCCUGAUUUCCAUACUUCUGGAGAAUGCAUUUCGUUAACAUUGAAAGCCAGUUCUCUUUUCCUGGCAGUUUUUUUCAUUUUAUUUUUGGCAUUUUUUACAAGAUACCGUUCGGGAAAGGCUUUUGAAAGGACGGAAGCGUAUUCACUGUGCGCCAGUACUCCUGGCUGUGCUGUGGUUUCUCCCGACGUGCACAUUUAUCUCCUAUG
Molecule: small RNA, 1266 nt
Filed under: Pongo abelii (Sumatran orangutan)
Lineage: Eukaryota; Metazoa; Chordata; Mammalia; Primates; Hominidae
Description: processed transcript
Source: RNAcentral